AGGACGAACGCUGGCGGCGUGCUUAACACAUGCAAGUCGAGCGGAAAGGCCACUUCGGUGGUACUCGAGCGGCGAACGGGUGAGUAACACGUGAGUAAUCUGCCCUUGGCUUUGGGAUAGCCACCGGAAACGGUGAUUAAUACCGGAUACGACCGCUCCUCGCAUGAGGUGGUGGUGGAAAGUUUUUCGGCCAGGGAUGUGCUCGCGGCCUAUCAGCUUGAUGGUGAGGUAAUGGCUCACCAUGGCUUCGACGGGUAGCCGGCCUGAGAGGGGUGACCGGUCACACUGGGACUGAGACACGGCCCAGACUCCUACGGGAGCAGCAGUGGGGAAUAUUGGACAAGUGGGCGGAAGCCUGAUCCGAGCAACGCCGCGUGAGGAUGACGGCCUUCGGGUGUAAACCUCGUUUACGGUAGGACGAAGCGACGAAGUGACGGUAACCUAGUAAAGAACGCACCGGCCAACUACGUCGCCAGCAGACCGC
This 484-nucleotide ribosomal RNA is filed under the name uncultured soil bacterium. Its description in RNAcentral is "bacterial SSU rRNA". It matches the Rfam family "Bacterial small subunit ribosomal RNA", at positions 26 to 518 of the family's 1533-position model. The record is from RNAcentral.